RNAcentral lists this long non-coding RNA (1399 nucleotides) under Anas platyrhynchos platyrhynchos (common mallard). Its description in RNAcentral is "lncRNA (ENSAPLG00000018516.1)". The record is from RNAcentral. Lineage: Eukaryota; Metazoa; Chordata; Aves; Anseriformes; Anatidae.
GGCAGGUUCAUUACCUUACAGUGAUAGGGCCCUGUAGGGUUUCUCUUAAUGAUGCAUAAGGGGGAGCAGGAGCCACAGCAUACAUAUUUGUAGAGGCUCGGACUCUGCAAGGCAAAUGGGGGUAAGAACAGCCAAAUGGAUCUUUCUGUGCUAAGUCAGCAACAGUUAUGCAGUAACACAGUGAUUUUAUUUAUUUUUUGUUUGUUUUGAAUGAUAAGUCCAAGGAAAGGAUGAGUUAGCUGAUAGCUCAGAGAUAUCACAUAACUAAGACAAUGGUUUCCAACUUUCCUGAAUGUUAAAUGGAGGGAAAACAGCUGAACUUGCCUCUGCUAUGCCUUGCUCUGACAUGCUGAAAUGGCAUAUCUGUCUUGCUUAGGAGUGAAGCUCAUUAAAGUUGUUCUUGCAAAAGGCUUUACCCAGUGUAAUUUAAACAAGUGGGGCAGUAAGUAAGGCUAAAGCUUGCUCUCUUUUUAGGUUCAAUUUUUAACAGAAUUCAGUUUCUGUUUCUUUUAAGUAUGUGACAUCCCAACAGCUGCCAUUAAGGCUUCAGCUCUGUCUCCUGCACCCUACCUUUACUUUCUGUUUAGGCUUUUGACCCAGCUCAAGAUUCAACUCUUACUUUUUUUGUCAAAUGCUAUAUUUUCUUCUUGCUUUCUCUUGCUCUGGUGCCUCUGGACAGUAGUAUAAUUCUGACACCAAUAGUUGUUAUAAAUAAUAUAGUUCCUGCUCUGGGGAAAGAAAACUGGACUAAGGGAGGCAUUAAGCACCGAAAAUAACAGGAAUGCAGCAGAUCUGUCACGCAAGACUGCCAUCCCUAGCUGUUAAUGGGCACAGAAGUUCAACUUGAUAUGUGUCUACUCAGAGCACUGCCUGAUUCUAUCUUCACAUAGCAGUUAUUACCCUCGGGGACAAAUUAUGUCUUGCAUUGUGCACUCUCAUCCCUUCACCGAAGACUUGACAGUCCAUCCACCUAGGAAAAAACAUAUACUGCACUUAGUUUCACAGAUAAAGCAGUCCAGAAGAAACUGCAUGGAUCUUCAUCCUAAUUCAAAGUUUAAAGGAAAAGUCCAGGCUAAAGUGAAACUGAACUUGAACCAAAUCCCACUGCAUUCAGUGAACAGAGUCCUGCUGAUUUCAGAAGAUGCUGAGCUGUGGCUCUGAAGUCUCGUGGUCACCAUACCCAGCUUUGCACCUCAAGCUACAACACUGACUUCAGGUUGCUGAAUCCAGACUGGAUGCACAGAGAAUAUGCUUCAAAGCCACUGUGGCAACAGAGCAAUGGAACAAUGACACCUCAAAACACAGGCAUACAACAGACAAAACAAGAUCUUUGUCCUUUAACAAGAACAAAUCAACAGAAAUUUCUCAAAAUAAAUUUGUGACUAUAUGUAAAGCUUCA